Molecule: microRNA, 21 nt
Filed under: Gadus morhua (Atlantic cod)
Lineage: Eukaryota; Metazoa; Chordata; Actinopteri; Gadiformes; Gadidae
Also listed under: 1 other name
Description: gmo-miR-31-5p
Gene: gmo-miR-31-5p
Source: miRBase by way of RNAcentral
UGGCAAGAUGUUGGCAUAGCU